Regulatory RNA element from Roseivivax isoporae LMG 25204, 56 nucleotides. It matches the Rfam family "terC RNA". Lineage: Bacteria; Pseudomonadati; Pseudomonadota; Alphaproteobacteria; Rhodobacterales; Roseobacteraceae. The record is from Rfam.
ACGGCGGGCCGGGCCCCUCUGACGGCGGGUGAUCGCCGUGAUGUCGGACCGCAUCU